UAAAAGAAACUGCAGUGAAGCAUUUGGAGCC
RNAcentral lists this non-coding RNA (31 nucleotides) under Rattus norvegicus (Norway rat). The record is from RNAcentral. Lineage: Eukaryota; Metazoa; Chordata; Mammalia; Rodentia; Muridae.